RNAcentral lists this long non-coding RNA (371 nucleotides) under Bos taurus (domestic cattle). RNAcentral's name for it is "long non-coding RNA NONBTAT002666". The record is from RNAcentral. Lineage: Eukaryota; Metazoa; Chordata; Mammalia; Artiodactyla; Bovidae.
UUUAUGAUCAAGCCACAUUAAUUUAUUUGUCAUGAUAAAAUACAUGAAAUUCACUUCUGAUACUAUGGAUAGAAAGAUAAUUUGUAUUCUACCAUUUUCCUCUUAAGCUCAUAUAAACCUCUUGUCAUAAAAAUCUCAAACUGCUCUUAAUUUCUUUAAGAAAACACUAGAUUAAGGUAACACCACCAGGGUGUCAGUCCACCAGAUCUGUCUGAACUGCUGUCUCUAACACCGGCGGCAUCUACACUUACUACAUGUAUGUAUCUUACUAAGUUUUUGUGUGUUUCUGACUCUUCUCCUUUUCUCUCUUUUAAAUAAAAUACUUUUAUUGAAAAUGAGGUAUGCUCAAUGUUAAAUAAAUAAAAUCACAU